AAGUCGUAACAAGGUUUCCGUAGGUGAACCUGCGGAAGGAUCAUUAACACGUAUCCACCCUUUACAAACACCAACCCGAUACUCGAACUUCGUCAGGGUUCGCUCUUGAUCUUUGACUGAGCUUCAAGACUCGAGAAACACGCAUGGAACCGGUGAAAGUUUGAGACCCUUUGGGACUCGCUGCAACCUGGGGUCUAGUGUUUCUUUUGAGACUUAUUGCAUCUCGAGGUCAAUGAGACUGUGUCUUUGACGUUUUUGUAAACGGCUUUGACACUGCUGACUUGAAGGUCUUGUAUCACCCUUUUUACUCAAUGAACCUAAUUUUCAGUAUACUUGACUUUAGCUUGAAGAACUUCGUGAUCUUCGCUUAUGUCAUUUAUAAAACUAAGUACAACUCUUAGCAACGGAUGUCUUGGUUCUC
Molecule: unclassified non-coding RNA, 421 nt
Filed under: fungal sp.
Lineage: Eukaryota; Fungi
Description: partial internal transcribed spacer region
Rfam family: Eukaryotic small subunit ribosomal RNA (bases 1-46)
Source: RNAcentral